This is a long non-coding RNA of Magnolia sinica, 535 nucleotides long. RefSeq lists it as uncharacterized. The record is from RefSeq and is a predicted model, not a curated record. The transcript is spliced from 2 exons. NCBI's taxonomy places the organism in Eukaryota, Viridiplantae, Streptophyta, Magnoliopsida, Magnoliales, Magnoliaceae.
CUCAAUCUCCCUCUCACUCUCCCUCCCUCGAUCUCCCUCUCCCUUGAUCUCCCUCUCUUUCGAUCUCCUUCUCCCGAUCUCAACCCUCUCUCUUGAUCUCCCUCUCCCGAUCUCAACCCUCUCUCUCGAUCUCCCUCUCACUCUCCCUCCCUCUCUCAAUCUCUAUCUCGUUCUGAGUAACAGGUGUGGAGCCUCUAGCACAAGUGGUGAAUGCGCCAACUGCUGCAGAUCAUGGCCAAGCUGCUACUCCAGCAGUGGUCAUUGCUCUAGGCCUUGUGGUAAUCUGCUUGCAGCCGCCAGGGUGAAGAAUCGUGGCCGUCGAGUUCUGUAAUGGCAUCAAUGACCUCAACAAUGUCUUCUUUCCGGAGGUCCGUGGAAGCUCUGCCAAGGUCAAUGAUUGGGGUCAAGUUCGCAACUCGGAGCUUGAACGUCGACGAGAAGGUCGCCAAAGCUUAGAUUCGGGGUACGACUGAGCAAGAGAGGCGAUUUUCUUCAAAACCCCUCUGUUUCCAUUUUUCUAAUCAGUGUUUUUUUA